GGGAAGAAGGAGAAGAGAGAAUCAGGUUGGCCAUCAAUCAAACUCAAAUUGAACCUUGAGGUCAAUCGCCUCAAAGAUAACGAUCUCAUUACUGUUGAGAAUUUCUUUACUCCAGCUGAAUCAAAGGCUUUUGUCAAAGCUGCAGAGUCAAUUGGGUUUGUUCACCAAGGAAGUCGUGGUCCUGCAUAUGGCGAAGCAUAUAGAGACAAUGAUCGUGUAUCUAUGCAUGAUCCUGAUCUUGCAGAUGCAAUGUGGAGAGCUGGACUGAACAGAUUGUUUUCUGACAUCAAAAUUCGAGGCAAAGUUGCAGUUGGAUUGAACCCUAAUAUUA
Molecule: unclassified non-coding RNA, 331 nt
Filed under: Hevea brasiliensis (rubber tree)
Lineage: Eukaryota; Viridiplantae; Streptophyta; Magnoliopsida; Malpighiales; Euphorbiaceae
Source: RNAcentral